CAGCCGCCGCGGUAAUACGGAGGGCGCGAGCGUUACCCGGAUUUACUGGGCAUAAAGGGCGUGUAGGCGGCCUGGGGCGUCCCAUGUGAAAGGCCACGGCUCAACCGUGGAGGAGCGUGGGAUACGCUCAGGCUAGAGGGUGGGAGAGGGUGGUGGAAUUCCCGGAGUAGCGGUGAAAUGCGCAGAUACCGGGAGGAACGCCGAUGGCGAAGGCAGCCACCUGGUCCACUUCUGACGCUGAGGCGCGAAAGCGUGGGGAGCAAACCGGAUUAGAUACCCCUGUAGUCCCUGUCUCUUAUAC
This 301-nucleotide ribosomal RNA is filed under the name uncultured bacterium. RNAcentral's name for it is "partial 16S ribosomal RNA". It matches the Rfam family "Bacterial small subunit ribosomal RNA", at positions 509 to 807 of the family's 1533-position model. The record is from RNAcentral.